UCUAAGAUGAAAUUAUUGCGUAAACCCCUGAGGGUUUACGCAGUAUAUAUUGGACGAGUGAUGUAGUCUUUCGGAACACCGGAUGUUAGUCGGAACACUUCUGGUCUUUCUAUGACCACCUUUCAAAUACAUGCGCAAUAGCUAUGACCACCUUUCAAAGGCAUGCGCAAUAGCUUACUAAUCUGUUGAAUAUGCAUUAGCAUCUUAAGUUGCUAUAGAGAUAUUUUACGUAUGAUCUGAAAUUUAUUAUGAUAUAAUAUUUUCUUGCACACGAUUACAAGCUGCUAAUAUUAACCUACAUGCGUAGUAUUUUAAUUAGUCAAACGAUGUAACCAGCUGUGUUUAGAUAUGAGAUAAGAUUUCAUGUAAACAAUGCGCUUUAUAUUCUGAAC
Molecule: long non-coding RNA, 392 nt
Filed under: Mytilus galloprovincialis (Mediterranean mussel)
Lineage: Eukaryota; Metazoa; Mollusca; Bivalvia; Mytilida; Mytilidae
Source: RNAcentral